GUAUAUGAGUGGCCGGAUGUGGGAUCUGGAGAAUAUGAUGUUGGAGUAGUGGCUUCGUUUGGCCGACUUUUGAAUGAGGCUCUUAUUCUUAAAUUUCCCUAGUUUGAUGUAGGCCCAAUUCUCAAACAAGAAACUGUUCCUGUGCCACCCAAGAGCACUGCAAAGGAAUUGGAAGCAGUGUUGUCAAGACUGGGUGCCAACAUG
This 204-nucleotide long non-coding RNA is filed under the name Homo sapiens (human). RNAcentral describes it as "non-protein coding lnc-RASL12-1:1". Lineage: Eukaryota; Metazoa; Chordata; Mammalia; Primates; Hominidae. The record is from RNAcentral.